CAUAGCUCAGUUGGUAGAGCACAUGACUUUAAUAAGUUCCUGAAACCCUGUGUUCCAAAGGUCGCUGGUUCAACUCCAGCUCCAA
This 85-nucleotide transfer RNA is filed under the name Xyrichtys novacula (pearly razorfish). RNAcentral's name for it is "tRNA.Sup". Lineage: Eukaryota; Metazoa; Chordata; Actinopteri; Labriformes; Labridae. The record is from RNAcentral.